Molecule: long non-coding RNA, 186 nt
Organism: Cucurbita maxima (winter squash)
Lineage: Eukaryota; Viridiplantae; Streptophyta; Magnoliopsida; Cucurbitales; Cucurbitaceae
Exons: 2
Source: RefSeq, a predicted model, not a curated record
GUUUAAAAAAAAAAGAAAAGAAGAAGAAAAAUAGAGGAGAGGGUGGAGCAGAGGAGACGAACGACGAAGGUUCAAGAAGGGAGAACGCCGACGGUUAUGAUCAAGGGAAGUUGAUGAAUCCUCAUGAAGAAGAAUACAUGGGGUGCUGAGAGGAAAGAAAGAUCAAGAAGAAGGUGGGAAGAAGAG